AGUCGAGAAUUUUUCACAAUGGGCGAAAGCCUGAUGGAGCGACGCCGCGUGGGGGAUGAAUGGCUUCGGCCCGUAAACCCCUGUCAUUUGCGAUCAAAGCUCAUGAUUUAAAAGAUGAUGAGUUGAUAGUAGCGAAAGAGGAAGGGACGGCUAACUCUGUGCCAGCAGCCGCGGUAAUACAGAGGUCCCAAGCGUUGUUCGGAUUCACUGGGCGUAAAGGGUGCGUAGGUGGUGAGGUAAGUCGGAUGUGAAAGCUCGGAGCUCAACUCCGAAAUGGCAUUGGAAACUGCCUUGCUCGAGGAUUGGAGGGGGGACUGGAAUACUUGGUGUAGCAGUGAAAUGCGUAGAUAUCAAGUGGAACACCAGUGGCGAAGGCGAGUCCCUGGACAAUUCCUGACACUGAGGCACGAAAGCUAGGGGAGCAAA
This 426-nucleotide ribosomal RNA is filed under the name uncultured Verrucomicrobiota bacterium. RNAcentral describes it as "bacterial SSU rRNA". It matches the Rfam family "Bacterial small subunit ribosomal RNA", at positions 353 to 772 of the family's 1533-position model. The record is from RNAcentral. Lineage: Bacteria; Pseudomonadati; Verrucomicrobiota.